Molecule: unclassified non-coding RNA, 404 nt
Filed under: soil metagenome
Description: partial contains 5.8S ribosomal RNA, internal transcribed spacer 2, and large subunit ribosomal RNA
Rfam family: 5.8S ribosomal RNA (bases 1-121)
Source: RNAcentral
GAUGAAGAACGCAGUGAAAUGCGAUAAGUAAUGUGAAUUGCAGAAUUCAGUGAAUCAUCGAAUCUUUGAACGCACCUUGCGCCCUUUGGCCAUUCCGAAGGGCAUGCCUGUUUGAGUAUCAUGAACACCUCAACUCUUUAUGGUUUUCCAUGAUGAGCUUGGACUUUGGGGGUUUUGCUGGCCUAUGGCCGGCUCCUCUCAAAUGAAUUAGCUUGCCAGUGUUUGGUGGCAUCACAGGUGUGAUAAAUAUCUACGCUUGUGGUUUUCCACCAGGUAACCUUCAGUGGAUGGAGGUUCGCUGGGGCUCAUAAACGUCUCUCCUCAGUGAGGACAGCUCUUUGAACGUUUGAUCUCAAAUCAGGUAGGACUACCCGCUGAACUUAAGCAUAUCAAUAAGCGGAGGA